AUCCCCCCUUCGUUCUAUUUUCUAACCUAAGAUUCUUCUAUUUCUCCCAAUCUGUUUCACAACAAAAAAAACUGAAAUUAGCGAUAAACGUCGUCGCUAAUCUGUCGCUAAAACGCUCGUAGCUAGUAGAAUUUCUUGAUAAUCCAUCGCUAAUCCGUCGCUAAAUGAGAUUAGCGAGGAAUUUUUCUAUUUAGCUACAGAAUUUGUCUGUCGCUAAAACCUGAUUUUUAGUAGUGUUUCUCCAGCUAGAAGAAUCGAGAUUCAAAUCCGAAAAAGUACAUGAAAUUCGUUUAGCAGCUUCAAUAAUCUUCAGGUAGCCGAGGGAUCAAAAACUACUGGUGAAGCUAUUGGGAUCGACGUCAACAGUUAGACAUUUGGUAGGUAUAAUUCGUUUCAGUUUAAUUUUUUCUUUUCUUUUGAGCAGAUUUAUUUUUUUAAAGGUAAAUUGAUUAUUUCUUAGUGUUGAGUGACCUCUUAUUGGUGUAAAUUAGUUUAAGAAAGCUUAAUUAAAGUGCACUAGAAUGAUGAGGACAUGAAAUAAGUUUUUGGUAGACUUAUGUUUUAGUAAGUUUUUGAGUAGGAGUGAAGUUAAGUCAUGUAUGAUUGGACAUUUUAUUUUUUAUAGUAAGUUCGCAAAGCAUCUAAAGUAGUAAGCUAACACUUUGACAUGUAUAAACAAAACUUUUGAGAGAAGAACUUAGUUCAGAUUAAGUGCAAAUAUUCACUAAUUAUUGCAGGCUUCUACAUGUCGAGCUUCUGAUAGUUAUGUCCUAAUUAUAAUGGAAGAAGUAAAAAUUUUCUAUCUGCACUUUUAUAUCAUUUAGAGGCUUCUCAUUAGGUAAUUUCUUUAACUUGUUAAUCAAAUCAAGAUCAGAUGUUAAGUUUCAGCCUUAAAAGGUUUCUCAUAGGUUCCAUCUAAGAAUUAUAGCCUACUUUAUCAACAUAUUUGCACUAUUUACUGCAGUAUCUUAGUUCUCAAUUAGAAAUAAAAUACUAUUUGUCUUGAUUCACUGCUUGCUGCUAGUACCAGUAAGCAUUGGUGCUCUCAUAUAGGAAAUUGAUACUAAGAAUUAUUUGAAAAGACUAUACAAUAUUGAUAUGAAACAAAAGGUCAAAGCUGAACAUACUAGCUGGAGUAAAGAGUGCAGCCUGAGUGUCUAGAACUUCUAUUUUUCUUCACAUGAUGAAAUAAAAAGAAAGAAAAUAAUAACUUUCAUGCGAAUGUUCCCUUGAUCUUUAUACUGGCUUCAUCUUGCACUUAGGGCAUUAUCUUAAUUUGCAGACCAAAUCUGAAAAUAGUCUGGUGAUGGAGCUUAUUUUUUACUCUUAGGGCAUUAUUUUUUACUCUUAUUCACACACAAAAACUAUUUUUUGUUAUCUUAUGAGAUGAUGUUAUUUCACAGGUUAUGUUUUUCACAUAUAAGCUUUUUAACUAACUUUUCAUUUUGAUAUUGUGAUGUUAUCUUAUGUCUUCCUUUCUACACAUGCCAAUUGAUAAAUCUUGGAUUAGCAAACCACGAAACACACCUGAAUAUGCAGAUGGUGUAAGACAAUUCUUGGAUUUUGCUUUUGAGCACGGGUCAAUUGAUGGGCUCGUAAUUAAGUGCCCUUGUCCAAAAUGUGGUUUUAACAAGUGACAAAGAAGCGAUGUAGUUGAAGAGCACCUGAUUCUCAAACCUUUUUAAAAAACUACAAAUUUUGGUAUUGGCAUGGUGAAGAAUCAAAUGCAACCGUGCAAUCAGAGCACCCAUGUCAUAGAAGAUACUUUACAACCCCAAGAUCCAAUGGAAAUUAUGAUUAAUGAUGUGUUUGGGUUCACCAAGAACAAUGUCAACGAGCUUGGUAUUUCUUCUAAUCAUAUAAAUAGAGAAGAAAAUUAAGGUGCAUAAUGAAGAUUAUACAAAGUUCUAUGAAUUUGUCGAAGAUGUCAAUCAACUAUUAUACGAAGGGUGUACGAAGUAUUCCAAAUUGUCCUUUCUAAUCAAAUUGUAUCAUAUAAAGUUUUUUUAUCGAAUGGCUAACAAAGUGAUGAGUAUGAUAUUAGAAUUGUUAAAAGAUGUCUUUGAAGAUGCCAAGAUUCCUAGUUCUUUUUAUGAGGCCAGGAAAACCAUCAACAAACUUGGUCUUAAUUAUACCAAGAUACAUGCCCGCUCAAAUGAUUGUAUGUUAUAUUUUGGCGAAGAUGAAGAAUUGCAAGAAUUCAAAAGAUGCAAGACAUCUAGGUGGAAGGAUAAUAAGAAGAAGCAGCCUGCAAAGAUAUUGCGUUACUUUUCACUAAAGCUAAGGUUGCAAAGAUUGUUCAUGUGUUAUAAAACUGUCGAGUCUAUGAGAUGGCAUUCUUUAGAGGGUUGCCAAGAUGGAUUGAUGAGGCAUCACAGGGAUUCUCAGGCUUGGAAAACUUUUGACUUGUGUCAUCCUGAAUUUGUUGCAGAUCCUCGAAAUAUAUGGCUAAGCCUAGCUAGUGACGGUUUCAAUCCUUUUGGAGACUAACAAUAGUAUCUGGCCAGCGGUACUUAUUCCAUACAUUUGUCCUCCUUGGGAGUGCAUGAAGCAAACUUCAUGCAUACUCUCAAUGAUCAUUCCAAGAAAAUAAAUGUCAGGCAAUGACAUAAAAGUGUAUUUAUAACCUCUCAUCUAAGAGUUGAGGGAAUUAUGGUACGACGGAGUGCAGAUAUUAGAUUCUUCAAAGAAUGAAAUAUUUAAAAUGUGUGCAUCAUUGAUGUGGACAAUUAGUGAUUUUUCUGGACUUGGUACCUUAUCUGGAUGGAACACAUACACUCAAUUUGCUUUCCCCACGUGUAACUUUGAUACAGACUCUUACAGAUUGAAGCAUAGUAGAAAAUGGUGUUUUAUGGGUCAUCGUCAUUUUUCUUGAAAGCGGCCAUCGGUUUAGAUUGCAAUGUGUUUGUUUUAAUAGGAAAAUCGAGCACGGGAGCCACCAAUUGCAUUAUCAGGGUCAGACAUCUUGAAACAAGUGGAGGGCAUUAAUGUCAAUUUUGGAAAAGUACCUGAUUUGAAUGAUAAAGGUAACUCGAAGACAAACUGUUAAUGAAGAUAGAUCGAGGCAGUGGAGAAAGAGGAGCAUAUUUUUUUUAUCUUCCUUACUGGGAAACGGACUUGUUACGUCAUAAUCUAGACCUUAUGCACAUUAAGAAGAAUGUGUGUGAGAAUGUGAUAUACACUUUACUCAAUGAUUCUAAAAAAUUAAAAGACAAUAUUAAAACUAGGAAGGAUCUUAGAGAAAUGGGUGUAAGGAAGGAACUUUGGGCAGAUGAGAAUGGAAGCUAUCGUCCAUAUUUGUUUACUAUUUUAAAUACAAAUAAAGGUGGAUUGAAGAAAGAUAUAUUUUUGCAGACCUUAAAGAAUGUCAAAAUGCUUGAUGGAUAUGCGAGCAACAUUUCGAGAUGUAUCGACUUGAAACAACGGAAGCACGUUAAUAUGAAGAGUCAUGAUUUUCACAUUCUUAUGCAGCACUUGUUAUCAAUUGCCAUACAAAAUAUUUUACCUCACAAAGUGACUACAGUGUUAAUAGAGUUGAGUUCGUUCUUUCGACAACUCUGUGCCAAAAGGCUUAAGUCCAGUAGACUUUGAUAGGCUCCAAUCUCGACAGUUUCUCACUAUGAAUCACUUGAAAAUGUUAUUUUCUCUAGCGUUCUUUACCGUCAUGGUUCAUUUAACUUGUCAUCUAGCUGGUGAAGAAGAACUUGGGGGACCGCAAUAGUGUCGAUGGAUUUAUCCUGUGGAGAGGUAUUUGGGACAUUUUAAGUCCUAUGUGCGGAACAUGUCACAACCAGAAGGUUCCAUAGCUGAAGGAUACCUAGCUGAAGGGGCUCUUACUUUCUGUUCUCAGUAUUUUGAAGGGAUUGAGACAAGGAUUAAUAGGCCCCAUCGUGUUGAUGAUUAUCCGGAUGAUAGAGGAUCGACAAAUUCAUCUAGCAUUUUUCCACCAAUUGUUAAAGGAGUAGCAUCAGAAACAUUUGAGUUGUCACCUAUGGUGAAACGUCAAGCACAUCGAUAUGUGGUUCUAAAUUGUCCACAAGUCAUGUUGUUCAUUGAUUAAUUUAAAGAUCAUGUACGAAGGCGUUGGAAGGGUCGAAAGCCUACCAGUACGGAGAUUGAGAAGAUAGUUAAUAAAGACUUCAUUGAUUGGUUUCCCAGAAAGAUUGUGAACCCAGAUAUUUCGAAUAUUGUAUCAGAUGACCUAAAAUUUUUUAGCAGAUGGUCCAGCACCACAUGCUAGAAGGUUUACAUAAUUUAAUAUCAACGGGUUCAAAUUUCGGACUUUAGGGUGAGAGAAUGGAUUGAAAACUCAAAACAGUGGAGUAUUAUUUACUUCGUCCACAUCUUGUAUUGCUAGUGGUGCUGAUAGAAAUUUGAGGCAAGUGGAUUUGCCAUAUUAUGGCAAAUUAGAAGACAUCAUUGAACUUAACUACUAUGGUUGAUUUCGGGUUACACUAUUCAAGUGUAAAUUGGCUAACACAACUAGGGAUAGGGAGUUCAGAACGGAUGCAUGGGGAUUUUCUUCCGUUAAUGUUUCACGAUUGAUUCAUACUGGUGAUCGUGAAGAGCAUGAUCCAUACAUUGAAGCUUCACAAGCUCAAAUGGUAUAUUAUGUGGACAAUGUGGUGAAUAAAGGUUGGAGUACUGUUGUUCACUUGAAACAAAGAGACUUAUAUGAUAUGGGAGGAGAAUGAGAUAAAGAAUUUUCUGAGAAUGAGUCAUUCCUACUGCAAUACUUAGAUCAACACUUUGGGGAUGUUAAUGAUCUGCUUUUGUGUAGGGAGGAUGAAACUAAUUAAAUAUUAAGUGAUCGCGAUAUUGAAAAUGAGAUUGGCGAAAAUGAACAUAUUUGAAGAGUCAUUGCUAGCCAUUUUCAUAUUUUAGAAGGAAGCAUCUUGAUAUAUUUUCAUUUCAAAUUAGUUUAGAUUAUAGCUAUGUCCUUUUAUAUUCUUGACUUGCUUUAUGUUCUUGCAUCUAGUUACUUUCUUUCAUUAAUUAAGCUUAAGUUAUUUUUGUGCUGAAGUUUAAACUGGUUUGGUAUCAAGGUUUUCUUCUUUUGCUUUAUAUACUUUUAUGUAUGUAGAGAUGUCGAAGCAAAAUAGGGUUAAAAAUCAAUUCGAAUCAGUCAAAGAGAGAUCUUCACUUGUUCCGGGGUAGUCAUCACAGGCUCAAGCUUCAUCUUCAACAUCUUAUCGAGUCUCUUUACAUCCUACACUGCCUACACAACCUACACGUCCUGUUAUUUCAGUUGAUGGAGUAUCUUCGCAGCACGUUGUUCCAUCUUCAUCAUAUGAUGGAGUCUCUUCGCAGCAUGUUGUUCCAUCUUCAUCAUCUGAUGGAGUAUCUUCUCAGCCUGCCAUUCCAUAUUCAUCAUCUGAUGUAAUCUCUUCACGACGAAUUAGACGUACUACUACUGAUGAAGAGCCUCAUUGGUUUGUCGAUGUUAUAGCAAUUGAGAAAUCGGCUGGCCUAAUUGCAGGAGUUUUAGGGAAGCUUGCAACAAAUUCUAUGUACUUUCCUAUUGGGUUUGUGAAAUGAUCAUCCAUGCCCAAAUAUUUUAUGGACCGUAUUUUUAAUGAUAUAAUAAUGCCUCGGUUUUUCUUAAGGAUUAAUCAACAAAAGGCAAAAGCAUGGCUUAACAGUUCCCUUAACAAAAAGUGGAAGGAGUACAUGCUUAAACUAUGAAAGGAGGUUGAAGAUCCAUUAUUAAGUAAAUAAGAUAUCAUCAAGAACGCUCUGGAUGGCAUACCGAUGGACCAAUGGGCAAUGUAUGUUACUUAUAGCUUGAAAUAGGUGAUAAAGGCGCGUUGCAAGAAGAAUGCACAGAUUCAACAAAACCAAUUUCCUCAUACUUGUGGUGCCAUGAGUUUUGCUAGAAGAAGGGUUGUGAUGAAGGCAAUGGGAAAAGCUUUUGAUCGAGGGAAAAUGUGGACUGAGACUCAUAAAAGGAAAGAUGGAAGUUAUGUAACUGAUGAGGCUAGGGUGAUUGGGGAAAGAAUUGAAGAAAUUCGAAGUCAAAGAACAGAAAGUCUUGAUGAACCUUCACCAAAUGAUGCACUUUGCAUAGUAUUCGGUCCCGAGCACCCCGGCCGUGUUCGAGGUUUAGGCAUGGGUGUAGCUCCAACUGUAGCAUUCAAACAGACAUCAGCGAGAUACCGUCGUGGUUAUGUGGGUUCAUCUAGCACUACCGCUCCAACUCCACAGUGACAGCAAGAGAUAACAGAUGUGAAAUCAAAAUUAAAUGCACUAAUUAGCUUAUACGAAAGGAACAUAGGGAAUAUCCCUGAGGAGUUUGCUCACUUAUUUUCCACUCCUCCACAUGUAUAAGUUCUCUUGCUACAUUAAAAUUUUAGUUGUUUGCUUUUCUUAUGGUUCUUUUUUGACAUAAAGUGGUUUCUCUCCUUGUUUUAAUUUUUAAUAGGCUGUUAGAAAUUAAAUUUGA
This is a non-coding RNA of Nicotiana tabacum (common tobacco), 6442 nucleotides long. The record is from RefSeq and is a predicted model, not a curated record. NCBI's taxonomy places the organism in Eukaryota, Viridiplantae, Streptophyta, Magnoliopsida, Solanales, Solanaceae.